Molecule: transfer RNA, 71 nt
Filed under: Marmota monax (woodchuck)
Lineage: Eukaryota; Metazoa; Chordata; Mammalia; Rodentia; Sciuridae
Description: tRNA.Ala
Rfam family: tRNA
About the family: Transfer RNA (tRNA) molecules are approximately 80 nucleotides in length. Their secondary structure includes four short double-helical elements and three loops (D, anti-codon, and T loops).
Source: RNAcentral
GGGGUUGUAGCUCAGUGGUAGAGUGCUUGCCUUGCAUGCAUGAGGCCCUGGGUUUCGUCCCCAGCACCACA